GCAGCAGCCGCGGGAAUACGAAGGGUGCAAGCGUUACUCGGAAUUACUGGGCGUAAAGCGUGCGUAGGUGGUGGUUUAAGUCCGUUGUGAAAGCCCUGGGCUCAACCUGGGAAUUGCAGUGGAUACUGGGUCACUAGAGUGUGGUAGAGGAUAGUGGAAUUUCCGGUGUAGCAGUGAAAUGCGUAGAGAUCGGAAGGAACAUCUGUGGCGAAGGCGACUAUCUGGGCCAACACUGACACUGAGGCACGAAAGCGUGGGGAGCAAACAGGAUUAGAUACCCCUGUAGUCCCUGUCUCUUAUAC
RNAcentral lists this ribosomal RNA (302 nucleotides) under uncultured bacterium. RNAcentral's name for it is "partial 16S ribosomal RNA". It matches the Rfam family "Bacterial small subunit ribosomal RNA", at positions 508 to 807 of the family's 1533-position model. The record is from RNAcentral.